Molecule: unclassified non-coding RNA, 660 nt
Filed under: uncultured Prochlorococcus sp.
Lineage: Bacteria; Bacillati; Cyanobacteriota; Cyanophyceae; Synechococcales; Prochlorococcaceae
Description: partial may contain 16S ribosomal RNA, 16S-23S ribosomal RNA intergenic spacer, and 23S ribosomal RNA
Rfam family: tRNA (bases 303-375)
Source: RNAcentral
GUGGAGGAGGACGCCGAAGGUGGGGCUAAUGACUGGGGUGAAGUCGUAACAAGGUAGCCGUACCGGAAGGUGCGGCUGGAUCACCUCCUAACAGGGAGACAACAAAAUGUUUAAUAUUAUUAUUUUGUCACCUUAGGUCGAUCGGUAUCUCACGUUUUUAAUUUAUUAAGAAUUUCAUUUCCUAAGUUUUUCUAGGUCACACCCAUUAUUUUUCCUGGGCCAUUAGCUCAGGUGGUUAGAGCGCACCCCUGAUAAGGGUGAGGUCCCUGGUUCAAGUCCAGGAUGGCCCAUAUCUCUAUGUUGGGGGUAUAGCUCAGUUGGUAGAGCGCCUGCUUUGCAAGCAGGAUGUCAGCGGUUCGAGUCCGCUUACCUCCACUGAUUACCACCUCUUCCAUAACCGGUAGAAAGGAAAUGUUUUGAGUUGUGAUCAAAUUCUGAAAGAAUUCAGCUUCCUAAUGAAAUCAUUAAGAUGCUGGACUCAUUGAAUUAAUUUCAUUGUUUUCAGAGAACCUUGACAACUGCAUAGAUUAUUUUUAAAGACAAUAAGCAUCUUUAAUGAUGCAGAUUUAUUAUUUGUGCGAAUGCAUUAAUAACAAUUCUAUUAAGCUGAUGCUUCAAUUUUUGAAGUUAUUGGUCAAGCUACAAAGGGCUCACGGAGGA